RNAcentral lists this ribosomal RNA (1372 nucleotides) under uncultured bacterium. RNAcentral describes it as "bacterial SSU rRNA". It matches the Rfam family "Bacterial small subunit ribosomal RNA", at positions 28 to 1381 of the family's 1533-position model. The record is from RNAcentral.
GAUGAACGCUGGCGGCGUGCCUAAUACAUGCAAGUCGAGCGAACGGACGAGAAGCUUGCUUCUCUGAUGUUAGCGGCGGACGGGUGAGUAACACGUGGAUAACCUACCUAUAAGACUGGGAUAACUUCGGGAAACCGGAGCUAAUACCGGAUAAUAUUUUGAACCGCAUGGUUCAAAAGUGAAAGACGGUCUUGCUGUCACUUAUAGAUGGAUCCGCGCUGCAUUAGCUAGUUGGUAAGGUAACGGCUUACCAAGGCAACGAUGCAUAGCCGACCUGAGAGGGUGAUCGGCCACACUGGAACUGAGACACGGUCCAGACUCCUACGGGAGGCAGCAGUAGGGAAUCUUCCGCAAUGGGCGAAAGCCUGACGGAGCAACGCCGCGUGAGUGAUGAAGGUCUUCGGAUCGUAAAACUCUGUUAUUAGGGAAGAACAUAUGUGUAAGUAACUGUGCACAUCUUGACGGUACCUAAUCAGAAAGCCACGGCUAACUACGUGCCAGCAGCCGCGGUAAUACGUAGGUGGCAAGCGUUAUCCGGAAUUAUUGGGCGUAAAGCGCGCGUAGGCGGUUUUUUAAGUCUGAUGUGAAAGCCCACGGCUCAACCGUGGAGGGUCAUUGGAAACUGGAAAACUUGAGUGCAGAAGAGGAAAGUGGAAUUCCAUGUGUAGCGGUGAAAUGCGCAGAGAUAUGGAGGAACACCAGUGGCGAAGGCGACUUUCUGGUCUGUAACUGACGCUGAUGUGCGAAAGCGUGGGGAUCAAACAGGAUUAGAUACCCUGGUAGUCCACGCCGUAAACGAUGAGUGCUAAGUGUUAGGGGGUUUCCGCCCCUUAGUGCUGCAGCUAACGCAUUAAGCACUCCGCCUGGGGAGUACGACCGCAAGGUUGAAACUCAAAGGAAUUGACGGGGACCCGCACAAGCGGUGGAGCAUGUGGUUUAAUUCGAAGCAACGCGAAGAACCUUACCAAAUCUUGACAUCCUUUGACAACUCUAGAGAUAGAGCCUUCCCCUUCGGGGGACAAAGUGACAGGUGGUGCAUGGUUGUCGUCAGCUCGUGUCGUGAGAUGUUGGGUUAAGUCCCGCAACGAGCGCAACCCUUAAGCUUAGUUGCCAUCAUUAAGUUGGGCACUCUAAGUUGACUGCCGGUGACAAACCGGAGGAAGGUGGGGAUGACGUCAAAUCAUCAUGCCCCUUAUGAUUUGGGCUACACACGUGCUACAAUGGACGAUACAAAGGGCAGCGAAACCGCGAGGUCAAGCAAAUCCCAUAAAGUUGUUCUCAGUUCGGAUUGUAGUCUGCAACUCGACUACAUGAAGCUGGAACCGCUAGUAAUCGUAGAUCAGCAUGCUACGGUGAAUACGUUCCCGGGUCU